CAGCUAUGAACUAUCUCAGGAAUUUAGACUGACCAAACGACACCAUGUGGAAGGCGUCUUGAGGCGCAAAAACCGGAAUUAGGAGUAACGGUUCCGAUCGGCACUGGAAGAGGAACAGCGGAGAUCAUUAGCAAAUUGCAUUGGCUGAAUCUGUCAGAACUGGGUGGAAAACUGCCAAAAAAGGAUUACCAAGCAAAUCGGAAGAGCCCUCAGACGAGUACCGCAGGAUUAUUUGGAAUAGCUACCAGCGGUUACCAGUAAACCGGUUUUACGAACACCUCUGGACAGCCCCAUUUUCGGAGGAUUCGCUGCUCAGAUUCAAACCGACAGCCGGAGGAUUGCUCUCGGAAACUGCCAUUACCUCGGCCAUUACGCAAUGAUGAGAGCGCUGAAAGUGUGUCAGCUUUUUCUACAAAAUUGCUUCGUCGAAUGUGUCUAAUUUCAGAUAAAUAAGAACUAAAUAAAAAUAGCAUGCUUUGUUA
Molecule: long non-coding RNA, 482 nt
Organism: Aedes albopictus (Asian tiger mosquito)
Lineage: Eukaryota; Metazoa; Arthropoda; Insecta; Diptera; Culicidae
Exons: 3
Source: RefSeq, a predicted model, not a curated record